CUUCAAUAAACAUUGAUUGCUUGAAACGAAAAUACGCAAUCUUUUAGAGAUACCGGAAAACGGAACAACUGUGUGUAAGCUGUGUGUAAAGUGACAGAAAGAGCGAGAAUCAUGAUGAAGAUCAGUUCUCAUUCACUCUUCCUCUUCGGUCCUUAACAGACAGUCUGGAAUCAAAGCUUUGACGUCUAAAACACAUCACAACGGCCACAGAAGAGGUAAAAGGGAGGGAGUUGAGCUCUUCCUCUGUAGAAACUUCAUCAUCCUCUCCAUCUGCAAUGGAGAUUGCCCUGGUGAGUUGGUGCUAAGGCUGUGUGCUUUAAUGUAGAGCUGUUCUACUGAAGUUAAAUGUGAAAUGCUGAAUAACCAAAAGAUGGAUAUAAUAGAAUAGCCUGACAUUAAACAACUUAACCUGAUCGGCUAUUAAAAAGUCUAUUGAAAUAACCUUAAAGUUGAUUCAGCAGGCCAGUCAGGUUAAGUAGUUCAAUGUCAUGCUAUUCUAAUAUAUUCUGCAAUGCCGAUUGACUGCAAAACAUUAA
This is a long non-coding RNA of Sinocyclocheilus anshuiensis, 536 nucleotides long. RefSeq lists it as uncharacterized. The transcript is spliced from 3 exons. Lineage: Eukaryota; Metazoa; Chordata; Actinopteri; Cypriniformes; Cyprinidae. The record is from RefSeq and is a predicted model, not a curated record.